UACGUAGGGGGCAAGCGUUGUCCGGAAUCAUUGGGCGUAAAGCGCGUGUAGGCGGCUCGAUAAGUCUGCUGUGAAAGUCCAAGGCUCAACCUUGGGAUGCCGGUGGAUACUGUCGAGCUCGAGUCCGGAAGAGGAGUGUGGAAUUCCUGGUGUAGCGGUGAAAUGCGUAGAUAUCAAGCGGAACACCAGUGGCGAAGGCGAGUCCCUGGACAACACCUGACACUGAGGCACGAAAGCUAGGGGAGCAAACAGG
RNAcentral lists this ribosomal RNA (253 nucleotides) under uncultured bacterium. Its description in RNAcentral is "partial 16S ribosomal RNA". It matches the Rfam family "Bacterial small subunit ribosomal RNA", at positions 524 to 776 of the family's 1533-position model. The record is from RNAcentral.